RNAcentral lists this ribosomal RNA (1275 nucleotides) under Lacticaseibacillus rhamnosus. RNAcentral's name for it is "bacterial SSU rRNA". It matches the Rfam family "Bacterial small subunit ribosomal RNA", at positions 169 to 1431 of the family's 1533-position model. Lineage: Bacteria; Bacillati; Bacillota; Bacilli; Lactobacillales; Lactobacillaceae. The record is from RNAcentral.
CCGCAUAAAUCCAAGAACCGCAUGGUUCUUGGCUGAAAGAUGGCGUAAGCUAUCGCUUUUGGAUGGACCCGCGGCGUAUUAGCUAGUUGGUGAGGUAACGGCUCACCAAGGCAAUGAUACGUAGCCGAACUGAGAGGUUGAUCGGCCACAUUGGGACUGAGACACGGCCCAAACUCCUACGGGAGGCAGCAGUAGGGAAUCUUCCACAAUGGACGCAAGUCUGAUGGAGCAACGCCGCGUGAGUGAAGAAGGCUUUCGGGUCGUAAAACUCUGUUGUUGGAGAAGAAUGGUCGGCAGAGUAACUGUUGUCGGCGUGACGGUAUCCAACCAGAAAGCCACGGCUAACUACGUGCCAGCAGCCGCGGUAAUACGUAGGUGGCAAGCGUUAUCCGGAUUUAUUGGGCGUAAAGCGAGCGCAGGCGGUUUUUUAAGUCUGAUGUGAAAGCCCUCGGCUUAACCGAGGAAGUGCAUCGGAAACUGGGAAACUUGAGUGCAGAAGAGGACAGUGGAACUCCAUGUGUAGCGGUGAAAUGCGUAGAUAUAUGGAAGAACACCAGUGGCGAAGGCGGCUGUCUGGUCUGUAACUGACGCUGAGGCUCGAAAGCAUGGGUAGCGAACAGGAUUAGAUACCCUGGUAGUCCAUGCCGUAAACGAUGAAUGCUAGGUGUUGGAGGGUUUCCGCCCUUCAGUGCCGCAGCUAACGCAUUAAGCAUUCCGCCUGGGGAGUACGACCGCAAGGUUGAAACUCAAAGGAAUUGACGGGGGCCCGCACAAGCGGUGGAGCAUGUGGUUUAAUUCGAAGCAACGCGAAGAACCUUACCAGGUCUUGACAUCUUUUGAUCACCUGAGAGAUCAGGUUUCCCCUUCGGGGGCAAAAUGACAGGUGGUGCAUGGUUGUCGUCAGCUCGUGUCGUGAGAUGUUGGGUUAAGUCCCGCAACGAGCGCAACCCUUAUGACUAGUUGCCAGCAUUUAGUUGGGCACUCUAGUAAGACUGCCGGUGACAAACCGGAGGAAGGUGGGGAUGACGUCAAAUCAUCAUGCCCCUUAUGACCUGGGCUACACACGUGCUACAAUGGAUGGUACAACGAGUUGCGAGACCGCGAGGUCAAGCUAAUCUCUUAAAGCCAUUCUCAGUUCGGACUGUAGGCUGCAACUCGCCUACACGAAGUCGGAAUCGCUAGUAAUCGCGGAUCAGCACGCCGCGGUGAAUACGUUCCCGGGCCUUGUACACACCGCCCGUCACACCAUGAGAGUUUGUAACACCCGAAGCCGGU